RNAcentral lists this ribosomal RNA (298 nucleotides) under Aeromonas salmonicida. Its description in RNAcentral is "partial 23S ribosomal RNA". It matches the Rfam family "Bacterial large subunit ribosomal RNA", at positions 2654 to 2925 of the family's 2925-position model. The record is from RNAcentral. Lineage: Bacteria; Pseudomonadati; Pseudomonadota; Gammaproteobacteria; Aeromonadales; Aeromonadaceae.
UUGGAUGAUUGAAGGGAGUUGCUCCUAGUACGAGAGGACCGGAGUGAACGAACCUCUGGUGUUCGGGUUGUCACGCCAGUGGCACUGCCCGGUAGCUAAGUUCGGAAUCGAUAACCGCUGAAAGCAUCUAAGCGGGAAGCGAGCCCUGAGAUGAGUCAUCCCUGACCCCUUGAGGGUCCUAAAGGGCCGUUGGAGACCACAACGUUGAUAGGUGGGGUGUGUAAGCGCAGUGAUGUGUUGAGCUAACCCAUACUAAUUACCCGUGAGGCUUAACCAUACAACACCCAAGAAGUGUUCU